Molecule: ribosomal RNA, 301 nt
Filed under: uncultured bacterium
Lineage: Bacteria
Description: partial 16S ribosomal RNA
Rfam family: Bacterial small subunit ribosomal RNA
Source: RNAcentral
CAGUCGCCGCGGGAAUACGAAGGGUGCAAGCGUUACUCGGAAUUACUGGGCGUAAAGCGUGCGUAGGUGGUUUGUUAAGUUGGAUGUGAAAGCCCCGGGCUCAACCUGGGAACUGCAUCCAAAACUGGCAAGCUAGAGUACGGUAGAGGGUGGUGGAAUUUCCUGUGUAGCGGUGAAAUGCGUAGAUAUAGGAAGGAACACCAGUGGCGAAGGCGACCACCUGGACUGAUACUGACACUGAGGUGCGAAAGCGUGGGGAGCAAACAGGAUUAGAUACCCCUGUAGUCCCUGUCUCUUAUAC